RNAcentral lists this transfer RNA (65 nucleotides) under Dipodomys ordii (Ord's kangaroo rat). It matches the Rfam family "tRNA". From Rfam's summary of the family: Transfer RNA (tRNA) molecules are approximately 80 nucleotides in length. Their secondary structure includes four short double-helical elements and three loops (D, anti-codon, and T loops). Further hydrogen bonds mediate the characteristic L-shaped molecular structure. tRNAs have two regions of fundamental functional importance: the anti-codon, which is responsible for specific mRNA codon recognition, and the 3' end, to which the tRNAs corresponding amino acid is attached (by aminoacyl-tRNA synthetases). tRNAs cope with the degeneracy of the genetic code in two manners: having more than one tRNA (with a specific anti-codon) for a particular amino acid; and 'wobble' base-pairing, i.e. permitting non-standard base-pairing at the 3rd anti-codon position. The record is from Rfam by way of RNAcentral. Lineage: Eukaryota; Metazoa; Chordata; Mammalia; Rodentia; Heteromyidae.
GGUGGCUCAGUGGUAGAGAGCCUGCCUUGCAUGCAUGAGGCCCUGGGUUCAAUUCCUCAGCACCA